This 182-nucleotide unclassified non-coding RNA is filed under the name uncultured fungus. RNAcentral's name for it is "sequence contains ITS1". The record is from RNAcentral. Lineage: Eukaryota; Fungi.
UUGUUUAAAUUUACUUAAACUCCGACGCAAUGAUGCAGUGUUUGAUGGGCCUCCGGGGGCGCCGCGCCGCGCGAGCGGCAGGGUCGCCCCCGAAGCAACAAGUUGUGUUCACAAAGGGUUGGAGGUCGGGACGCGAGGUCCCUCACUCAGUAAUGAUCCCUCCGCAGGUUCACCUACGGAGA